Labeo rohita (rohu) is the source of this 880-nucleotide long non-coding RNA. RefSeq lists it as uncharacterized. The record is from RefSeq and is a predicted model, not a curated record. The transcript is spliced from 2 exons. Lineage: Eukaryota; Metazoa; Chordata; Actinopteri; Cypriniformes; Cyprinidae.
UUUUUUUAAAUGUGUACUAAAUGUGUUUAUACUUAUUUUUAGACAUUGGGUUCUUCAGUGAAGGAAAAAUUACAACAGUGGAAUCUCAUACAUUAAACAUCCACAUGCCAAUUAACUGAAAUAUUUCAAGAGGAAGGAGUCAAUGAAGGAAGUUUUAUGCGACCGGAUGACACCAGCAUUGCUGCACUAACUCCAAGAGAAGAAGUUUUUAGCAUUUUCAACGGUGAAACAGUGGAACAGAAGACCUUACUACAAGCAGUGGAUCUGUGUUUCAGACAUUUCUACAUUUAUGACAUCUACUACCCAAAGCUCCUCUGCACCCAUUUGCAGCACACAGUCUUUAAUAUUCCAGGAGUUCUUUCAACACAUUACCUCUUCCUUAGAAACUUUGUAUUUAUUGAUCCGUAAAAACUUUUUAUGUUGCUGAUUAUCAGCAAGUCCAGCAGCCAGCAGAUUUACUUUGUUUUAUUAUUAUUAUUAUUAUUAUUAUUAUUACUUGUGUUUAUGAUUUUUUAUUUUUGUUUUAUUGAUAAAAGUUUGUAUGUUAUGUUUGUUUUAUUUGUGCACAUUUGUGUAUGUGUUGAUAUAAAUAAAUAUGAAUUGAUACACAUUUAUGACCCUGGACUACAAAACCGGUCAUAAGUAUCAUGGGUACAUUUGUAGAAAUAGCCAAAAUUGCAUUGUAUGGGUCAAAAUUAUCAAAUUUUCUUUCAUGCCAAAAAUCAUUAGAAUAUUAAGUAAAGAUCAUGUUCCAUGGAGAUAUUUUGUAAAUCUCCUACCAUAAGUAUAUUGAAACUGAAUUUAUUAUUAGUAAUAUGUGUUGCUAAUAACUUCACUUGGACAACUUUAAAGGCAAUUUUCUCAAUAUUUAGAUUUUUUU